AGAAUCAACGCUGGCGGCGCGCUUAACACAUGCAAGUCGCACGAGAAAGUGGAGCAAUCCAUGAGUACAGUGGCGUACGGGUGAGUAACACGUGACUACCUACCCUCGAGUGGGGAAUAACCUCGGGAAACCGGGGCUAAUACCGCAUAAUGUCUUCGGACCAAAUGCGUAAGCAGCUUGAGGAGGGGUCGCGGCCGAUUAGCUAGUUGGUGAGGUAAUGGCCCACCAAGGCAAUGAUCGGUAGCCGGCCUGAGAGGGCGCACGGCCACACUGGAACUGAAACACGGUCCAGACUCCUACGGGAGGCAGCAGUGGGGAAUUUGCGCAAUGGGGGAAACCCUGACGCAGCAACGCCGCGUGGAGGAUGAAGCCCCUUGGGGUGUAAACUCCUUUCGAUCGGGACGAUUAUGACGGUACCGGAUGAAGAAGCACCGGCUAACUCUGUGCCAGCAGCCGC
This 457-nucleotide ribosomal RNA is filed under the name uncultured bacterium. RNAcentral's name for it is "SSU rRNA". It matches the Rfam family "Bacterial small subunit ribosomal RNA", at positions 26 to 518 of the family's 1533-position model. The record is from RNAcentral.